Long non-coding RNA from Stomoxys calcitrans (stable fly), 2430 nucleotides. RefSeq lists it as uncharacterized. The record is from RefSeq and is a predicted model, not a curated record. NCBI's taxonomy places the organism in Eukaryota, Metazoa, Arthropoda, Insecta, Diptera, Muscidae. The transcript is spliced from 2 exons.
CUCUCUUUUCUCUCUGGCAACUCCUCAAAAAACGAAAAACGCAAAGAGGAAUCGACAAAAAUAUUCAAUAAAAAAAACAAGAGAUAAAUACUCUAAAGCCAUGUUGUUGUUGUUGUAGCAGUGUGUUAUACACUGAGGCGGCAGCCCUUGCCGAUGAAGAACUCCAUCGGGUCAAUCCGGUACGCACAACCGGCUGCCAUGGGAUUGCCUCUAAAGCCAUCGUAAAUAUUUGUUUUUAUUUAUUUCGUUAAAGUAAACCCCAAAUAAUUGUCCGUCGUUUACUUAACGAAUUUCUAUUCAUUAGCGAAAAAAGCUGAUUUUAACGAUGUCGAUUAUCGUUAAAAAACGAGAUAUCAAACUACAACCUAGACAUCCUCGGUUUAAGUGAAGUACGAUGACCGAAAUCCGGAACUAUGGAUCUUCAAGGUGGCUUCCACUUAUUUUUUUUAGGCAUGAAAUCCACCGAAUAAAUGUGGUCGGUCUUUUAUUGUCGCUUCUUCUAACAAUGUUAUAUCUGAACGCAUCAUGACGGUAAGAUUAUAUUCAAAAUUCAGCAAAAUAUCCAUUGUACAAUGCAACGCGCCAACCGAACCCGAUGAUGACGAAAUUCCCAACUCGACUCAGUGAAGAAGACAUUAAAAAGAAAACAUUAAACUUGUUAUGGGUGAUUUUAACGCCAAGGUGGGCAAUAACAACAAUAAUCUACACAGUCCUUCAUGGGAGUGCAAGGACUUGGCGAUACCAGAAAUUAUAAUGGCGACAGAUUGGUUGAUUUCUGCGCAAGAAACCGGCUCUUUAUUAGAGGCACAAAACUCCCCCAUUAAAAUAUACACAUAUAUACUUGGGAAUCACCCGUAAUCAAAUCGACCACGUAGUUAUCAGCAAACUCUUCGCUGAUGGAUGUGAAAACUAGACGAGGAGCCGACUUAGAUAGUGACCACAUGCUCUUAGUGGCCACUCUACGCCUACGCCAGCCGUCGCGAAAAGGACUCAAACUAAAAGCACAAAGUUCAACCUCUUAAACCCAAAAGACCCCGAAACAGCGCGCGAAUUCAAGGCAACAUUAACGUAGGAGCUGCAAAAUAACACUAAUAUAUGGGCCGACAAAAUAGCAGCAUGUAAGGAGACGGCCACCUCUAUCAUAGGCAUUGCUCGAAAAGUCAUGGAUAAGCAACGAAUUACAGAAGAAAUAAAAUACCUGAAAACUAACUAAAAUCGCAGCCAGGAUUGAAUAUCGCGCCUCCGCGUCGCUGGUCAAGCGCUUAGUUCGCAGAGAUAAGCGAAUAUACCCACCUACUAAGUAAUUGAGGCCGCUCUGGUCUCACUCAAAAAUGGCCAAUCAGCCGAUAAUAUACCUGCUGAACUGUUGUGGCAUGAGGCAUGCCCCAUAGCUCAAGCGAUCACCCCAAUAAUUAAGAAGGCCUGGAAUAAAACGCUGUCCCCACGGAAUGGAAGAAGGGCAUCAUGGUCACAAUCCCAAAGAAGGGUAACCUCACCGAGUAUAAGAACUGGAAGGGGAUUUCAUUGCUAAACGCAAUAAAAAAAGUGAUGGCAAGUCUUCUUCUGCAGCGCAUUUCGCCUGCACUUGACAGCAUUUUUUGGAAUAAACAGGCAGGUUUUCGGCCUGAUCGUUCUUGUGCGGACGACAUUAACUCCCUGCGCAUAAUCAUUGAACAGUCUGACAGAGUUAAUACACACAUAUACAUUUUAUUCAUCGACUUCGAGCGUCUUUUUGGCACAGCUUCGCGAAAUUCAAUGUGGAUCACUAAUUAGGAAGCUGUAUAGGAAUGCUGAAUUUUAGUCCGUUUCAAUGGAAAAGAGAGCCGACCUUCCGGGAGCGACAUAGGAGUGUAGCAGGCAAACGCUGUGGUGUUGACGACUUCCUCGGAGACAUCGACUACGCAUAUGAUAAUGACUCUUUGCGCAUUGCUUUGAGCACAUAAAGGCGAAUUUGGAACGAUCAAAUGAAAAUGCUGCCAAAGUAGGCCUGAGGAUAAACAUAGCAAAGACCAAAUUGAUGAGGAUAGGAAAAUCAAAUCUGACACCGCUCAAUAUGAACGACCAUAUCAUUGUAGACAACUUCUCCUAUCUUGGCAGCGAAAUAACAAAGGACGGAGAAUCGGAGGCAGACAUCUGCGUACGUAUCAACAAGGCUAAAAGCGUCUUUCUUAAACUCAACAAAGUUUGGAGAUGCAGUGACAUCUCACAUAAUACAAAAGAUCUUCAACAGUAGCGUGAAAUCUAUAUUAUAUGGUUGUACAACUUGGAGCCUGACACAAUCGACUACCCGUAAAGUCGAAGUUAACAUAAAUUGCUGCGUAAUACUUGAAAUUUUCUGGUCAACCCGUAUUUCAAAUGAGGAACUGCAAAUAAGAACAAAAAAUUCCCUUAUUGAUUUAGAAAUCCGGAAGAGAAAAUGGUGUUGGUUGG